GUGCCAGCCGCCGCGGUAAUACGUAGGGUACGAGCGUUGUCCGGAAUUAUUGGGCGUAAAGAGCUCGUAGGUGGUUGGUCACGUCUGCUGUGGAAACGCAACGCUUAACGUUGCGCGUGCAGUGGGUACGGGCUGACUAGAGUGCAGUAGGGGAGUCUGGAAUUCCUGGUGUAGCGGUGAAAUGCGCAGAUAUCAGGAGGAACACCGGUGGCGAAGGCGGGACUCUGGGCUGUAACUGACACUGAGGAGCGAAAGCAUGGGGAGCGAAC
This 269-nucleotide ribosomal RNA is filed under the name uncultured Actinomycetales bacterium. RNAcentral's name for it is "partial 16S ribosomal RNA". It matches the Rfam family "Bacterial small subunit ribosomal RNA", at positions 505 to 773 of the family's 1533-position model. Lineage: Bacteria; Bacillati; Actinomycetota; Actinomycetes; Actinomycetales. The record is from RNAcentral.